RNAcentral lists this ribosomal RNA (277 nucleotides) under uncultured bacterium. RNAcentral's name for it is "partial 16S ribosomal RNA". It matches the Rfam family "Bacterial small subunit ribosomal RNA", at positions 32 to 285 of the family's 1533-position model. The record is from RNAcentral.
AAUCAACGCUGGCGGCGUGCCUCAGACAUGCAAGUCGAACGCGAAAGGCCCCUUCGGGGGCUGAGUAGAGUGGCGCACGGGUGAGUAACACGUAGGUAAUUUGCCUUCGGGUGGGGAAUAACAGCCGGAAACGGCUGCUAAUACCGCAUAAUGCAGCGGCACCACGUGGUGACAGUUGUUAAAGCGGGGGAUCCUUUGGGGACCUCGCGCCUGAAGAGAAGCCUGCGGCGGAUUAGCUAGUUGGUGGGGUAAUGGCUCACCAAGGCGACGAUCCGUA